Molecule: unclassified non-coding RNA, 220 nt
Filed under: uncultured Thelephoraceae
Lineage: Eukaryota; Fungi; Basidiomycota; Agaricomycetes; Thelephorales; Thelephoraceae
Description: sequence contains ITS2
Source: RNAcentral
ACACCUCAACUCUCAUGGCUUGCCAUGAUGAGCUUGGACUUUGGGGGUCUUGCUGGCCUGCGGCCAGCUCCUCUCAAAUGAAUUAGCUUUCCAGUGUUUGGUUGGCAUCACAGGUGUGAUAACUAUCUACGCUUGUGGUUUCCACCAGGUAACCUUCAGUAACAUGGGGGUUUGCUGGAGCUCACAAAUGUCUCUCCUCAGUGGGGACAGCUCUUUGAAC